UAGCUAGUUGGUGAGGUAACGGCUCACCAAGGCGACGAUGCGUAGCCGACCUGAGAGGGUGAUCGGCCACACUGGGACUGAGACACGGCCCAGACUCCUACGGGAGGCAGCAGUAGGGAAUCUUCCGCAAUGGACGAAAGUCUGACGGAGCAACGCCGCGUGAGUGAUGAAGGUUUUCGGAUCGUAAAGCUCUGUUGUUAGGGAAGAACAAGUGCCGUUCAAAUAGGGCGGCACCUUGACGGUACCUAACCAGAAAGCCACGGCUAACUACGUGCCAGCAGCCGCGGUAAUACGUAGGUGGCAAGCGUUGUCCGGAAUUAUUGGGCGUAAAGGGCUCGCAGGCGGUUUCUUAAGUCUGAUGUGAAAGCCCCCGGCUCAACCGGGGAGGGUCAUUGGAAACUGGGGAACUUGAGUGCAGAAGAGGAGAGUGGAAUUCCACGUGUAGCGGUGAAAUGCGUAGAGAUGUGGAGGAACACCAGUGGCGAAGGCGACUCUCUGGUCUGUAACUGACGCUGAGGAGCGAAAGCGUGGGGAGCGAACAGGAUUAGAUACCCUGGUAGUCCACGCCGUAAACGAUGAGUGCUAAGUGUUAGGGGGUUUCCGCCCCUUAGUGCUGCAGCUAACGCAUUAAGCACUCCGCCUGGGGAGUACGGUCGCAAGACUGAAACUCAAAGGAAUUGACGGGGGCCCGCACAAGCGGUGGAGCAUGUGGUUUAAUUCGAAGCAACGCGAAGAACCUUACCAGGUCUUGACAUCCUCUGACAAUCCUAGAGAUAGGAGUCCCCUUCGGGGGCAAAGUGACAGGUGGUGCAUGGUUGUCGUCAGCUCGUGUCGUGAGAUGUUGGGUUAAGUCCCGCAACGAGCGCAACCCUUGAUCUUAGUUGCCAGCAUUCAGUUGGGCACUCUAAGGUGACUGCCGGUGACAAACCGGAGGAAGGUGGGGAUGACGUCAAAUCAUCAUGCCCCUUAUGACCUGGGCUACACACGUGCUACAAUGGACAGAACAAAGGGCAGCGAAACCGCGAG
This 1026-nucleotide ribosomal RNA is filed under the name Bacillus velezensis. RNAcentral's name for it is "bacterial SSU rRNA". It matches the Rfam family "Bacterial small subunit ribosomal RNA", at positions 242 to 1261 of the family's 1533-position model. The record is from RNAcentral. Lineage: Bacteria; Bacillati; Bacillota; Bacilli; Caryophanales; Bacillaceae.